Molecule: long non-coding RNA, 1246 nt
Filed under: Oncorhynchus kisutch (coho salmon)
Lineage: Eukaryota; Metazoa; Chordata; Actinopteri; Salmoniformes; Salmonidae
Description: lncRNA (ENSOKIG00005048686.1)
Source: RNAcentral
AUAUCAGCGUAUCAAAGAGAUGUCUGCUAUCCUACUGUUCAAUCUACUAUAACUAAUGUGAUGGAAUACCUGAGAGUAAAUUAAUCACUUCUGAACACCAUGCAUUCUGUACUCAUACUCGCAUGGCAAUGAAGGAAGUAAUGACUCAUAUGAUUUAUGAACUCCCUAGCCAACCAAGGGAAGGCUGAUAGGACCACUCUGGAGGACACAGAGAUGCAGCCAAUGAAAACUAUUAAAACAUCUGAUGAUUUGCCAAUGGAUAAAUGCCAGCUGACAGCAGGACAAAACAACGGCCAUACAUAGUUCUGACUGACAAGACGUACUAGAUGACAGUCAUACUGUUCCUAAUCACAGACCUGACAUCAUCAAUCAACCAUGCAUUUGUAGCUUGACUGAUAGUUAGAAAAUGUGCCCAUGGACAACAACCCACAUGUUUUUCUCAUGGGGGGAAAUUAUAUCAUUGGAGAGUACUGUUCUACAGUGGAGCACAUCUGUGUUCUAAACAAUUGAAUAACUGUACCGUCUUCAUAAUUUACAUUAAAGUUUUGAAUUAAGUAUUCAUUGUAGCAGUCAUCUGUGAGUGUCUGAACAGUUGUCAACUCUGAGACACCUUACCCUUCUAAGGUAUCUAGCUAGCUACAGCAGGCUACCGAGACAGAAAUAGACAUUGCCAUGCUGUUCGUAAUGGAGCGUAACAUUUUCGUCCUGAAUUUGAGCUUUCGUUUUAACAACAUGACCACACAACUUUGGAAUUCUAUAUAGGACAAAAUGCGUGUUGCAGGCAUAUUUUGAUAUUUAAGAUUGUGAAAAUGUUGUACAGUUAUUCCCUCUUAGAAAAAACGGUUCCAAAAGGGUUCUUCAGCUGUCCCCAUAGGAGAACACUUUUUGGUUCCUGGUAGAACCCUAUUUUUGGGUUCCAUGUAGAACCCUCUGUGGAAAGGGUUCUACAUGGAACCAAAAGGGUUCUAACCUGGAACCCUAAAGGGUUCUACCUGGAAGCAAACAUAGUUAUUCAAAGGGUUAUUCUAUGGGAACAGCCGAAGAACCCCUUUAGGUUCUAGAUAGCACCUUUUUUUUCCUAAGAGUGUACACCUAGAUGUGUGAGUAGAAGUGUGAGUAGAAGUAUACUAGGUAAGAAUACUACAAAUUUUGAUUAUCAGAAAUGUUUGAUUGCAAUUAUAUAACAUUAUCCUCUGGAAUCUAAACUUCUAUUAAAGAAUAUGUAGCCAUUAUUUUUAAAAAGGCC